AUGCUCUCUUCCUCGGCUCCACCUCAUCCCCGCAUGCCAAACUCACCUGGAAGACUUGGGCUCCUCUUAGCGUCAAGUUCUUCAUAUGGCUGGCCUUACAAGACCGGUGAUGGACAAGCGAGAGACUCGCGGGCCACGGACUGCUGCACAGCCACGCCUGCGCAUUCUGUGACCAGGCCACUGAAUCCAUGCAACACCUCUUGA
RNAcentral lists this ribosomal RNA (204 nucleotides) under Triticum aestivum (bread wheat). RNAcentral describes it as "partial small subunit ribosomal RNA". Lineage: Eukaryota; Viridiplantae; Streptophyta; Magnoliopsida; Poales; Poaceae. The record is from RNAcentral.